GACGAACGCUGGCGGCGUGCCUAAUACAUGCAAGUCGAACGAACCGCGACUAGGUGCUUGCACUUGGUCAAGGUGAGUGGCGAACGGGUGAGUAACACGUGGGUAACCUACCUCAUAGUGGGGGAUAACAGUCGGAAACGACUGCUAAUACCGCAUAGGACAUAGGAUCACAUGAUUCUGUGAGGAAAGGUGGCGCAAGCUAUCGCUAAGAGAUGGACCCGCGGUGCAUUAGCUAGUUGGUAGGGUAAAGGCCUACCAAGGCGAUGAUGCAUAGCCGACCGGAGAGGGUGAUCGCCCCCAUUGGGCAGAGAACACGGCCCAACCCCCGACGGGGGGCAGCAGUAGGGAAUCUGCCGCAAUGGACGAAAGUCUGAGGGAGAAACGCCGGGUGAGUAAAGAAGGUCUUGGGAUCGAAAAGCUUUGUUUUUAGAAAAAAAAGGCGCAAAGGGUAACUGUUAUGCGGGUGACGGUAUUAAACCAAAAAGCCACGGCUAACUACGU
Molecule: ribosomal RNA, 501 nt
Filed under: uncultured bacterium
Lineage: Bacteria
Description: partial 16S ribosomal RNA
Rfam family: Bacterial small subunit ribosomal RNA
Source: RNAcentral